GACAGAGGGGGCAAGCGUUGCUCGGAAUUACUGGGCGUAAAGGGCGCGUAGGCGGGAUGGCAAGUCGGUCGUGAAAUCCUUCGGCUCAACCGAAGAACGUCGAUCGAUACUGCUGUUCUUGAGGGUUGCAGAGGAGACUGGAAUUCCCGGUGUAGCGGUGAAAUGUGUAGAGAUCGGGAGGAACACCGGUGGCGAAGGCGGCAUCCUGGACCGGCAUUGACGCUGAGGAGCGAAAGCUAGGGGAGCAAACGGG
This 253-nucleotide ribosomal RNA is filed under the name uncultured bacterium. RNAcentral's name for it is "partial 16S ribosomal RNA". It matches the Rfam family "Bacterial small subunit ribosomal RNA", at positions 524 to 776 of the family's 1533-position model. The record is from RNAcentral.